This is a long non-coding RNA of Sardina pilchardus (European sardine), 169 nucleotides long. RefSeq lists it as uncharacterized. The record is from RefSeq and is a predicted model, not a curated record. The transcript has 3 exons. NCBI's taxonomy places the organism in Eukaryota, Metazoa, Chordata, Actinopteri, Clupeiformes, Clupeidae.
CCCAUUUCCCCUUGGCCAUGAAGGAGAGAAGCUCGUUUUACUGAGGCAUGCAUUCCCUCCACACAUGAUUUAUAAUGUGGAUAAGUCAGGUGUCUUUACAGUACAAAAGCCACAGCAGCUAAGUGCCAUCAAAGUUGUGCCGCGCGCCAGAGCCAGUGAGUGCAUGCAU